RNAcentral lists this ribosomal RNA (668 nucleotides) under uncultured fungus. RNAcentral's name for it is "eukaryotic LSU rRNA". It matches the Rfam family "Eukaryotic large subunit ribosomal RNA", at positions 24 to 664 of the family's 3401-position model. The record is from RNAcentral. Lineage: Eukaryota; Fungi.
CCCGCUGAACUUAAGCAUAUCAAUAAGCGGAGGAAAAGAAACUAACAAGGAUUCCCCUAGUAACUGCGAGUGAAGCGGGAAAAGCUCAAAUUUAAAAUCUGGCAGUCUCUGGCUGUCCGAGUUGUAAUCUAGAGAAGCAUUAUCCGCGCUGGACCGUGUACAAGUCUCCUGGAAUGGAGCGUCAUAGAGGGUGAGAAUCCCGUCUUUGACACGGACUGCCAGGGCUUUGUGAUGUGCUCUCAAAGAGUCGAGUUGUUUGGGAAUGCAGCUCAAAAUGGGUGAUAAAUUCCAUCUAAAGCUAAAUAUUGGCGAGAGACCGAUAGCGAACAAGUACCGUGAGGGAAGGAUGAAAAGAACUUUGGAAAGAGAGUUAAACAGUACGUGAAAUUGUUGAAAGGGAAACGCUUGAAGUCAGUCGCGUCGACCGAGACUCAGCCUCGCCUUGGCUUGGUGUACUUCUCGGCUGACGGGUCAGCAUCAAUUUCGAUCCUUGGAUAAUGGCAAGGGAAAGGUAGCACCUUUACAGGUGUGUUAUAGUCCUUUGUCGGAUGCAAGGGUUGGGAUUGAGGAACUCAGCACGCACCUCAUCGGUGUCGGGGCCUUUUGGCCUACGUUACGUGCUUAGGAUGCUGGCAUAAUGGCUUUAAACGACCCGUCUUGAAACACGG